GUUUGAUCCUGGCUCAGAUUAAACGCUGGCGGCAUGCUUUACACAUGCAAGUCGAACGGCAGCACGGGGGCAACCCUGGUGGCGAGUGGCGAACGGGUGAGUAAAGCAUCGGAACGUGCCCUGGAGUGGGGGAUAACGUAGCGAAAGUUACGCUAAUACCGCAUAUUCUGUGAGCAGGAAAGCAGGGGAUCGCAAGACCUUGCGCUCUGGGAGCGGCCGAUGUCGGAUUAGGUAGUUGGUGGGGUAAAGGCCUACCAAGGCGACGAUCCGUAGCGGGUCUGAGAGGAUGAUCCGCCACACUGGGACUGAGACACGGCCCAGACUCCUACGGGAGGCAGCAGUGGGGAAUUUUGGACAAUGGGCGCAAGCCUGAUCCAGCCAUGCCGCGUGAGUGAAGAAGGCCUUCGGGUUGUAAAAGCUCUUUCGGUGGGGAAGAAAUUGCAUGGGUUAAUACCCUGUGUAGAUGACGGUACCUAAAGAAGAAGCACCGGCUAACUACGUGCCAGCAGUCGCGGUAAUACGUAGGGUGCGAGCGUUAAUCGGAAUUACUGGGCGUAAAGCGUGCGCAGGCGGUUUGGUAAGUCAGAUGUGAAAUUCCCGGGUUCAACCUGGGAACUGCAUUUGAGACUGCCAAGCUGGAGUUUGGCAGAGGGGGGUGGAAUUCCACGUGUAGCAGUGAAAUGCGUAGAGAUGUGGAGGAACACCGAUGGCGAAGGCAGCCCCCUGGGCCAAUACUGACGCUCAUGCACGAAAGCGUGGGGAGCAAACAGGAUUAGAUACCCUGGUAGUCCACGCCCUAAACGAUGUCAACUAGGUGUUGGGAGGGUUAAACCUUUUAGUGCCGUAGCUAACGCGUGAGGUUGACCGCCUGGGGAGUACGGCCGCAAGGCUAAAACUCAAAGGAAUUGACGGGGACCCGCACAAGCGGUGGAUGAUGUGGAUUAAUUUGAUGCAAUGUGAAAAAUCUUACCUACCCUUGAUAUGUCAGGAAUCCUGGAGAGAUCUGGGAGUGCUCGAAAGAGAGCCUGAACACAGGUGCUGCAUGGCUGUCGUCAGCUCGUGUUGUGAGAUGUUGGGUUAAGUCCCGCAACGAGCGCAACCCUUGUCAUUAAUUGCCAUCAUUUAGUUGGGCACUUUAAUGAGACUGCCGGUGAUAAACCGGAGGAAGGUGGGGAUGACGUCAAGUCCUCAUGGCCCUUAUGGGUAGGGCUUCACACGUCAUACAAUGGUCGGUUCAGAGGGUUGCCAACCUGUGAGGGGGAGUCAAUCUCAGAAAGCCGAUCGUAGUCCGGAUCGCAGUCUGUAAUUCGACUGCGUGAAGUCGGAAUCGCUAGUAAUCGCGGAUUAGUAUGUUGCGGUGAAUACGUUCCCGGGUCUUGUACACACCGCCCGUCACACCAUGGGAGCGGGUUCUGCCAGAAGUAGUUAGCCUAACCGCAAGGAGGGCGAUUACCACGGCAGGGUUCGUGACUGGGGUGAAGUCGAAAUAAGGUA
This 1494-nucleotide ribosomal RNA is filed under the name metagenome. Its description in RNAcentral is "bacterial SSU rRNA". It matches the Rfam family "Bacterial small subunit ribosomal RNA". The record is from RNAcentral.